GCACCGGUUUAAUGAUUUUCUACAAAGGUAGCAAAACUUACUAUAUAUGGAUUGAUAGAUGAUGGAGUGACAGAGAAGAUACCUGAAGGUGGAGCGGACCCUCAGGGAGGUAAAGGACGGGAGAAAGAACAAGUUAAAAGUGGGAAACAAGCAGGGAUGAUGAGAGACAGCCAAGGACAAAUACUGACAUUCUUCACAAAUUUCUUCUGGAAAACUGCACUGUUUCAAAAGACUGUUGGUCUACUGACGCACAGUACAGAGCUUUUGUUUCAGUCCACACAAAAAUACAGCAAUGUGUUCAGAAUGUGCAGGAAGCGUCUGUUAUAUACCUUCCCGCUUUCAUCCCAGGAAAAGUCCAUCCCUCAUCCAUGAUCCACCCGUUUGAAUCUCCAUUCUGUUUGAAGCCAAGCCCAAAGCAGCAACUGCAGCCACACUUAAAAGCAUUUUUUUUAAUUCACAGAAACACACUCUUUGUCAUCUAUGCCUGUGUGUGUGAUGUAAAUACGAAGUUCACAUGUGUCACAAGAUCAUAUAUGUACACAUUUGUUACAGUCCUGCUCAUGUGUUUCCCCGCUCACAUAGAGGCAGCUCAGCUGUGCAUGCUGUAUCUACAAAGGAACAAAGGUGAGGGAGCGGCAUAAGGAUCAGAGAGUGCUGGGGAAGAGCAGUUUCAGUCUUAACAAUAAACUGAGUAUACGUAAAGUGGAUGAAUGGUUGACUCAGUAAACUCCAGCUAUACCACAGUGAAAUAUCUAAUCUGCCUUUCUCCCAACACACAUUUACAGAGUGCUUUAAACACAACAAACAAAUUCCCUAAGUAUUACAAAAAUGAUAAUGCAGUUACAAAAGGACAACUAAGUUAUAAACCUCAUCAAAUCUUCACAAAUUUCUUCUGGAAAACUGCACUGUUUCAAAAGAUUGUUGUCAAAUUUGAACAAAAAAGUUAUACCCGAUUAAUAAGUACUGUUUUCACCAUUUCUUUAAUGACACCUUGAAGGAGGACAAAUAAUUGCUUCCUAUCUUUUGCAGUUUGAAGGGUUCUGAAGGGUUGUGUAUCUACAAAAAAACACUACUUCGUCCACAGAACAAGAAAAAGAGAUAUGAGUGGGCAAAAGCUCACAAAAAUUGGACUUAUGAUGACUAGAAACAAGUUUGAACUGUUUGGUUCAAAAUACAGAGUCUAUGUCUGCAGUCAAACUGGUGAACGUCUGAAAGCACCAUGUGUUACACCCAUAAUUCAGCAUGGAGGUGGUAGUUCCAUGGUAUGGGGAUGUUUAGCAGGUGAUGGAGUAGGAGAUUUGUUUGAAGUAAAGGGUAUCAUGAAGAAGGAACAGUACCAC
Non-coding RNA from Xyrichtys novacula (pearly razorfish), 1340 nucleotides. Lineage: Eukaryota; Metazoa; Chordata; Actinopteri; Labriformes; Labridae. The record is from the annotation of a GenBank genome assembly.